This 439-nucleotide ribosomal RNA is filed under the name uncultured bacterium. Its description in RNAcentral is "partial 16S ribosomal RNA". It matches the Rfam family "Bacterial small subunit ribosomal RNA", at positions 338 to 795 of the family's 1533-position model. The record is from RNAcentral.
CCUACGGGAGGCAGCAGUGAGGAAUAUUGGGCAAUGGGGGCAACCCUGACCCAGCCAUGCCGCGUGAGUGAAGAAGGUCUUCGGAUUGUAAAGCUCUUUCGGACGUGACGAUGAUGACGGUAGCGUCUAACGAAGCACCGGCAAACUUCGUGCCAGCAGCCGCGGUAAUACGAGGGGUGCGAGCGUUGUUCGGAUUUAUUGGGUUUAAAGGGUGCGUAGGCGGUCCGUUAAGUCAGCGGUAAAAUUGCGGGGCUCAACCCCGUCGAGCCGUUGAAACUGGCAGACUUGAGUUGGCGAGAAGUACGCGGAAUGCGCGGUGUAGCGGUGAAAUGCAUAGAUAUCGCGCAGAACUCCGAUUGCGAAGGCAGCGUACCGGCGCCAGACUGACGCUGAGGCACGAAAGCGUGGGGAUCGAACAGGAUUAGAUACCCUUGUAGUC